CUUUCUUCGUGUGAGGCUGCGGUGCACCAGCUGGGCCACGCCGGGAGGUGCCCUCCUUUGCUUUCGAAGGGGUGCAGGCAAUGGGGCUUGGAUGUUGCCAUUUGCUGGUCUCUUGCACAGGCCCUGCCUCUGCAAGGUCAGUCAUGAGACAUGUCCACGGCAUUUUUUGAUGUAGGAGGUGAGCUGGCCUGUUUUGCAUCAUCCUAAUGGAAGAAAUGGUGGCGGGACCUCAGUUGCGUGGGUGGUCUUCUGGGAGCACAGACUUCUUCCAGACCAGCUGGUCUUGCUUCUGGAGCAUCUCUUGGAGCAGAAGACUCUGAGCCCCCGAACUCUGCAAAGCCUCCAGAGGACAUACCACCUCCAGGAUCAGGAUGCAGAGGUUCGCCAUCGGUGGUGUGAACUCAUUGUUAAACACAAGUUCACGAAAGCCUACAAAAGUGUGGAGAGGUUCCUUCAGGAGGAUCAGGCCAUGGGUGUGUACCUCUAUGGGGAGCUGAUGGUGAGUGAGGACGCCAGACAGCAGCAGCUCGCCCGCAGGUGCUUCGAGUGGACCAAGGAGCAGAUGGAUAGGUCCUCAGCCCAGGUGGUGGCCGAAAUGUUAUUUUAACGAGGAAAGACCACAGCGAGAUUCUUUCAUUCGUCUCCUCCUAGCCUGGGGGACCAGGCUCGAACUGACCCUGGACAUCAAAGGAGGGAUUAUGUGGCUGCUAAAGCCAUCGGCCCACAGCCCUGUUCACGUCUUGGUGCUUCUCUUUCCCAGAGUCUGGUCCCAGCCAGGCACACACAAAAGGCAGAUUCUCGUAAAUGCAGCCUCCCUCCCUGGAGGCCGCCUCCUGCCGUGGAUCUGG
This 848-nucleotide small RNA is filed under the name Pongo abelii (Sumatran orangutan). RNAcentral's name for it is "processed transcript". The record is from RNAcentral. Lineage: Eukaryota; Metazoa; Chordata; Mammalia; Primates; Hominidae.